CUCUGAUUGGAGAUCUCUCAUGGAGUCCUUUCUACAAGCCUAGGCCUUCAGAGAUGGGUUCAGGCUUCAGUUGCCCAGAGCCCAAGAUCCGGCAUGUGUUUUGGAACGAGAGCAUUUGCAGAUUAGUGAAUACCAGCCACAGGGCCAGGUAUGAUGUGCAGAUAAGUAGAGAACCAUCUACCUUGAUGAAACUUGAGGAAAGAAAGACUUGGAAUCUGGUGCUAGAAAUUUCUAUGUAUUAAGGCUACUGAGAGCUACUGAGAGUAUCACUAGAAAGUAACCUCUUCUGCUGCCUCACUGAGAAAAAGGAAGAAGGAACUUGAUGCAGCACAGUGGAAGAGGAGUCUCAUCAUGUUAUUGUGCCACUUCUAUUAACGAGCAUUCGCCAAUAAUGCAGGUUGGCCUCUGGAAAUUUGUGCUGAGUACUUAAGGAAUUUACUGACAUUCAGAUUGAAGAGAAUCCUGAGGAAGGGCAAGAUGAAGAAGGUGGGUCAGCUGCACUACAGCUCUCCAUUAUGCCAUUACCUGCUGCUAUGAGACUAAAAGCAUUUCCAUUCUUAUUUUCACUUCGAGGCUGAACCUAAUCCUAUGUUAAAGUAAAUUCUGCAUAUAACAGGCAAAUAUCAUCACAGUGCUUUUUGUGAAGUGCAGUUGUGGAUAUUACGUUAUUUGAAAUGACAAUAAUUACUCAGUAUGUACAAUAACCAUAUAGUGGUUUAACUAAUGUUUCAUCGGUUGGAUGGUUUGGAUUUUUGUUUGCCUUUUGGGUCAUGCUUUUUUUUUCUUUGUUUGUUUCUUGGUUUGUGUUGAAAAACUUCCCUUACCUUACUAGCAUCACCAUAAUAUGUCCUCAUCUUGGAGCACUACACUACAUAUCUUGUAAAAAUACUCUCCACCAACAUAAACACAGGCUUUAUACGUGUCACUCCUUAUUAAUAUCACAGCAUUAGAAACCAGAUACAAAAGGGAGGAGGGCAAAAUUGUUGUUGCUUUAUUUAGAAACAAAGUACAUGGGGAAAAAAGUCUCACUAGUUACAAAGCACAUGGCGAUGUCACUUUCCACAAAGAUUUUGGUGGAAGGAAUAUAACAGUCUGUAUCAGUUAAUUUUUGUAACACUUAACACUAACUGGAG
Lagopus muta (rock ptarmigan) is the source of this 1133-nucleotide long non-coding RNA. RefSeq lists it as uncharacterized. NCBI's taxonomy places the organism in Eukaryota, Metazoa, Chordata, Aves, Galliformes, Phasianidae. The record is from RefSeq and is a predicted model, not a curated record. The transcript has 3 exons.